This 654-nucleotide ribosomal RNA is filed under the name bacterium E5.1W. RNAcentral's name for it is "bacterial SSU rRNA". It matches the Rfam family "Bacterial small subunit ribosomal RNA", at positions 790 to 1441 of the family's 1533-position model. The record is from RNAcentral.
GUAGUCCAUGCCGUAAACGUUGGGCACUAGGUGUGGGGGACAUUCCACGUUUUCCGCGCCGUAGCUAACGCAUUAAGUGCCCCGCCUGGGGAGUACGGCCGCAAGGCUAAAACUCAAAGGAAUUGACGGGGGCCCGCACAAGCGGCGGAGCAUGCGGAUUAAUUCGAUGCAACGCGAAGAACCUUACCAAGGCUUGACAUGAACCGGAACGGCGCAGAGAUGUGUCGGCCACUUGUGGCCGGUUUACAGGUGGUGCAUGGUUGUCGUCAGCUCGUGUCGUGAGAUGUUGGGUUAAGUCCCGCAACGAGCGCAACCCUCGUUCCAUGUUGCCAGCGGGUUAUGCCGGGGACUCAUGGGAGACUGCCGGGGUCAACUCGGAGGAAGGUGGGGACGACGUCAAAUCAUCAUGCCCCUUAUGUCUUGGGCUUCACGCAUGCUACAAUGGCCGGUACAAAGGGUUGCGAUGCUGUGAGGUGGAGCUAAUCCCAAAAAGCCGGUCUCAGUUCGGAUUGAGGUCUGCAACUCGACCUCAUGAAGUCGGAGUCGCUAGUAAUCGCAGAUCAGCAACGCUGCGGUGAAUACGUUCCCGGGCCUUGUACACACCGCCCGUCAAGUCACGAAAGUUGGUAACACCCGAAGCCGGUGGCCUAACCC